Molecule: ribosomal RNA, 547 nt
Filed under: uncultured bacterium
Lineage: Bacteria
Description: bacterial SSU rRNA
Rfam family: Bacterial small subunit ribosomal RNA
Source: RNAcentral
GCGAAGAACCUUACCAAGGCUUGAAAGGCCAGUAGUAGAAUCCUGAAAGGGAAACGACUCGUAAAGCCGAGAGCUGGUACAGGAGCUGCAUGGCUGUCGUCAGCUCGUGCCGUGAGGUGUUAGGUUAAGUCCUGCAACGAGCGCAACCCCUGCCAUUAGUUGCCAUCAGGUAAUGCUGGGCACUCUAGUGGGACUGCCCGCGCAAGCGGUGAGGAAGGUGGGGAUGACGUCAAGUCCUCAUGGCCCUUACGUCCAGGGCUACACACGUGCUACAAUGGUCAUUACAACGGGUUGCAAAACCGCGAGGUGGAGCCAAUCCCUGAAAAAUGACCUCAGUUCGGAUUGCAGUCUGAAACCCGACUGCAUGAAGCUGGAAUUGCUAGUAAUCGCGGAUCAGCACGCCGCGGUGAAUACGUUCCCGGGCCUUGUACACACCGCCCGUCAAGCCAUGGAAGCCGGGGGUACCCGAAGUCAGUGUCUCAACCGCAAGGAGAGAGCUGCCUAAGGUAAAACCGGUGACUGGGGCUAAGUCGUAACAAGGUAGCCG